AUUGGGACUUUAGCAUUUUCAUG
RNAcentral lists this microRNA (23 nucleotides) under Tribolium castaneum (red flour beetle). RNAcentral's name for it is "tca-miR-11624d-5p". Lineage: Eukaryota; Metazoa; Arthropoda; Insecta; Coleoptera; Tenebrionidae. The record is from miRBase by way of RNAcentral.